Molecule: long non-coding RNA, 1095 nt
Organism: Gallus gallus (chicken)
Lineage: Eukaryota; Metazoa; Chordata; Aves; Galliformes; Phasianidae
Source: Ensembl
CAGGUCCAGAAGAGUGCAAUAAAGAAGGUCAAAGGGCUGGAACACCUCUCCUAUGAAGAAAGAUUGAGGGAGUUUGGCUUGUUUAGCUUGGAGAAGAGAAGGCUCCAGGGAGACCUCAUUUUGGCGUUCCAGUACAAGAAGGGAGAUACUGAUUAGGAGAAGGAUUUACUUUUUACACAGUUUGAUGCUGAUGGGACAUUCUCCUGGAUGUACCAUUUUGUUUAUAAUUAAUUGGAUCUCAACAUGUUUUUAUCUAAGAAAAAAGAGAAAACAGAAGCAAAAAACAAAACAAAAUAAAACUUCCAGUUCCUAUAUAAUGCGACCAGGAUUAUUUAUUAUUUUUUUGGGAAUAUUCCACUUUCAUGGAAGGCUACUAUAAUAUAUCAAAGGUUAUUGCUACUUAUUGUCUGAGACUGGUAAUCAAAUCAACAUGAGACUACCAACAUUACUUUGUGGACAAUUUUGCAUAUGAAAGGAUUUCUUUGGAGCUAUUUGCCUUCAAAGGGGAGUGUUCAGGAGUGUUAACUGACCUGGGAGCAAAUAACUCCAGCUUGAUAGCUGGACAUUGGGAGAUGAUACCAUUGUAUCCUGUGAAGAUGGGAUACAAGUUGGCUUCUGCCUGCUUCCUUUUAUUGGCUGACUUAAAUUUGCAAGGCCUGGAAAAUGGGAACAAAGGAAAUCCUGCUGAGACCCCAAAGCCAGAAGCUGUCACUCCAGAAAAAAACUGACUCUACUACUUUGGACUUAUAAAUAAGUUUGUACUGCCAUUGUUAGUAGUCCUCAACUGAGAAACACCACCUGCGACGACCCAUCACUACUAAGAUCAGGAUCUGACACCAAGACAUAUCUGGAUCUAGGAGUGCUUUGGCAAUAUUUUCCAUUACAAAGCAAUUUAUUGAAGGAGUCUAAACCCAUGGAAGUGUCAAAGUCAUUCUUUCUGGUGAAUGGAGAUAUUCUUCAGCAUGAAGGAAUUCAUUGCCUUAGAGUCCACAGAAUUCUUCAAAGACAUGGAGAUACGUGAUGCAAAAUAUCUUUAUGUGUUUUAUUUCCUUUCAAGAACAAAGUUACUGUUUAAAUAAAUCAUAUUGUUAAACU